Molecule: long non-coding RNA, 3823 nt
Filed under: Sus scrofa (pig)
Lineage: Eukaryota; Metazoa; Chordata; Mammalia; Artiodactyla; Suidae
Description: lncRNA (ENSSSCG00005037650.1)
Source: RNAcentral
AUCCGAGCCGCAUCUUCGACCUACACCGCAGCUCACAGCAACGCCAGAUCCUUAACCCACUGAGCAAGGCCAGGAAUCGAACCCACAACCUCAUGGUUCCUAGUCAGAUUCGUUAACCACUGCACCAUGACGGGAGCUCCCCAAUUAAAUUCUGAAGGUUGACAUUUCAGGCACACUCCUCAUUUCACCUCGCAAGUGACCUUCAAGAUGCCAUUGAGCUGUCUGACUGUCCCACAGUUCACACAGCCCACUUCUUCCCCCAGUUCCUCAUCAGACGGGGCAAAGCAGACUGGAGUAUUCUUUGGAAGUAUUCUUUGGAACUAUACAAGGACAACACAGUAACUUUAAAAGGUAUUUCUCAGGCUUAAAGUUUAAAAGUCUUUGGAGUUCCUGUCGUGGCACAGUGAUUAACGAAUCCAACUAGGAACCAUGAGGUUUUGGGUUCCAUCCCUGGCCUCGCUCAGUGGGUUAAGGAUGUGGUGUUGCCGUGAGCUUCGGUGUAGGUCACAGAGGUGGCUCAGAUCCUGCAUAGCUGUGGCUGUGGUGUAGGCCAGCAACUGCAGCUCCAGACUGACUCCUAGCCUGGGGACCUCCAUAUGCCAGGGGUGCAGACCUGAAAAAAAAAGAACAGAACUGCAACCCUAAAUCAAUAUAGACAAAACAAAGACAUUGAAAAAUAAAGAUGUUAUUUAGCUAGAUCAUUUGAAUCUCUAAGGUAAAAUGCAGUUGGAGAUGAAGAAGAAUAAAAUGAAUAAAUGCAUGAAUGGCUGGGGAAUGAAAAAAUGCAGUUGACUUAAGAGUAAAUUCAGGCUCAGAUCCCCAGGCAGCAAGUUCUGCACAUCAGUCAAGUUAGAAAUGCCUCCUCUGAAGGCAGGAAAGAAUCGUCACUUCCAUUCUACAGAUGGAUAUACAAGUUUUCUUUUGUGGGGAUAGUCAUUAGACGAGAGAACGAAACAGUGCUUAGACUUAGCCGAGUCACUGAAAGGCCGGAAAGUCACAGCAUAAGAGAUGGAUGGAUGCCUGAGACAGACCAAGUGGGAGAACAGAGAGUCUGCAGCUCUUGGGAUCACAGUGUUCGCUGUUCGAAAGUACAUCAAAGGGAGAGACUGGAAGAUUCUGUCUGCGGGUUAGUUAAGAGCCAGGAUGUCUCUUGGGGUUUUGUCUUUUUCAAAGAUUGAUAGAAAGUCUCUCACAGUGUGUCUCCAAUCACAUUGUGGGUUCACUACAAUGAGACAAAUAUUUCUUAAGUUGUGUUCCCUGCAGUGGAGGCAGUGACUUAGGCAUCUAUUAGCUGGAAAAGAAAGUGAGUUCUUACUGAUGCUAAAAGCCAUCUGGCACACUGUCUCAGCAUGCUACAUAAAUAAAAGUUAUUUCCAACAACAUUGAUAGCAUCGCAAGCUUAGUUUUUGUCUAAAAACACAUAGCACUUUAAGUUAGGAUGGUUUUUUAAAGGUUAAAUUAAAAACAGGAAUUUCCUUUAUUUCUCAAUCAAUACAAACAUUUUAUAUAUUCAAGACAUCAACAAAUUGAGAGUCAAACUUAACCUACUUACUAGUUAAUUUAUUAAAAUUAAAAUUAAUUUUAAAGAAUGUGUUUUCUUUCUGGCUGCACAGCACACAGAAGUUCCCAGGCCAGGGCUCAAACUCAUGCCAUAGCAGCAACCCAAGCCACAGCAGUGGCAGCGCCAGAUCAUUCACCUGCUGUACCACCAGGGAACUCCUACAUUAAUUUUUAAGCAGGGGUUUUUGUUUUUGUUUUUUUGUUUUUUAGGGCCACACCUGUGGCAUAUGGAGAUUCCCAGGCUAGGGGUAGAAUCGGAGCUACAGCUGCUGGCCACAGCCACAGCAACGCCAGAUCCCAGCCGCAUCUGUGAUCUACACCAACAGCUCACGGUAACACCAGCUCCUUAACCCACCAAGCAAGGCCAGGUAUCGAAUCCGCAACCUCUUGGUUCCUAGUCGGAUUUGUUACUGUUGCACCACGACAGGAACUCCUAAGCAGGGUUUUCUAGUAUCAUAAUUGCACACUGCCCUCAGCAUCUUUCUAACAAAGACUUUAAAGAAAUCCUAUUUAAUGUUCGUUUGUCUUCCUUCACUAAUACAUUUUCAUUUUCAUCAGUUAUGCAUUGCGGAUAAGAGAAAGAAAAGAAGAAAGGAAAGGAGGGAGGAAAGGUUCUUAGCUUCCAGAAGUUAACAGCCUAACAGGGAGCUAGAAAAAGUAUAAAUGGCCCAUCCAGAAAGCAAUUAUUCUCUCACUAGCUGAGCUUUACACACACACACACACACACACACACACACACACACACAACUUGUUUGCUGUGGCAGAAAACAUCUUGGCAAAUAGAUGAGCAUCAUUGUGUCUCAGAUUUCUCUCUGUGUAAUGAAGUCAGAUUAGAUAAUUGCUGAGUCUUUAUAGCGCUAACAUCCUUUACGUCAUUCAACAUUUAUUGAGCAUUUAUUGUGUGAGAAAUGAGAAGCAUUUUGCUAGGAGAAGCAGGAUGGACAGUCUGAAUAAAACUCAUUUGGCUUUAAAGUGAUUGCAAUUUAAUGGAUUUAAUGGUCAAAUGCAAACACCUACUCGCACUGGAAGACGCAUGAAUAAAAGGUGCUGGGGACACGAGAGGAAGGAAGACUUGAUGCAAACACAGGACAGAGGGGGACGGAAUAAUAGGGGACCAAACAAAGCAGUUUAAGGACAGCAAACGUGAGGCUACCCUGGUAUGAAGGGCACAGGCUGUUAAAGGAAAGAGCAAGAAAGGCAGGGAGAGGACUUCCCUGGUGGCUCAGUGGAUUAAGGACCCAGCGUUGUCACUGCUGUAACUUGGGCUGCAGCUGUGGCUCAGGUUUGAUCCCUGGCCCAGAAACUUCUGCUUUCCAUGGGCAUAGCCAAAACAAAACAAAACAAAACCAACCAAACAAGAAACAACAACAAAAAAGGAGAGAGCCUCAGAAAGAACUGGCUGUUUUAUUUUAUUUUAUUCUUUUUUGGCCAUGCCCAUGGCAUGUAGAAGUUCCCAGGCCAGGGAUUUAACCUGUGCCACAGCAGCAACCAGAGCCACAGCAGUGACAAUGCCAGAUCAUUAUCCCACUAAGCCACAAGGGAAUUCUCAGAACUGGCUAUUUUAAAGGGUCAAUAGUAGGCCGAUCUAGCUUGGUUCUUGGAAGGAGAUGAAAAAGAUGACUUUGGGAUGAACUCAUUCAACCAGCUCAAGGUUUUAGGAAACUUCCCAAAAGUAAAUUUCACAUUGAACUCAGAAACCAUGGCUCAUCAGCUCAUAAAAUAAUCUUUGUUUCAGUGCAGAAGAAAUGGGCCAAGAGAGAGUGUAUGGCUGAUGUUGGUACAUUGAAACCAAGGAUCACUAAGAAAGCCAGAAGGUUGGAAACUGCUCCAUGUGGACAGAUGGAAAUAGAAAAUCCAGAGGUGAGGAAAUGCCAUCAUGGUCAUCCAGACAAUCUAAGUAUGUUCCAAAUGAGUCAUUUCCUCAUCUAUGGACUGUUUCUAUCUCCAAGGCAUCUCACAAUGCAGUAAGGCAGUACAUUUCAUCUUGAGAUGGCAGGUUGAUGGGCAGCUUUGGAUGAUUCUCUUGAGAGGAAGAGUUAUGAAGAGGACUCAGGGAUUAGCUCAUAUCAUGGAGGCUAGAAGAACCCAGCGAAAGAAUCCAUUCUAAAAUCUGAGUGGUGUCAGCCAGCAAGAAGUCAGGGCACGUGUGUUUGAGGUUAACCUCUGAUGUGCCCUAGCAGACCCACCUGCUUAUAGAUAAAGAAUGGAAAGUUGGGGCUGGGAUGGGGCAGUGAGCCAAGUCUUGGUAGGGAAGGCUGUGAUU